This 253-nucleotide ribosomal RNA is filed under the name uncultured bacterium. RNAcentral's name for it is "partial 16S ribosomal RNA". It matches the Rfam family "Bacterial small subunit ribosomal RNA", at positions 524 to 776 of the family's 1533-position model. The record is from RNAcentral.
UACGUAGGGGGCUAGCGUUGUCCGGAAUCAUUGGGCGUAAAGAGCGUGUAGGCGGUCCGGUAAGUCCGCUGUGAAAGUCGGGGGCUCAACCCUCGAAUGCCGGUGGAUACUGUCGGGCUAGAGUGCGGAAGAGGCGAGUGGAAUUCCUGGUGUAGAGGUGAAAUUCGUAGAUAUCAGGAGGAACACCAGUGGCGAAGGCGGCUUUCUGGACGGUAACUGACGCUGAGGCGCGAAAGCGUGGGGAGCAAACAGG